GUAGGGGCAGUCCUAGAGGUGGAGGUCAGGCAGGGAGAGGUUAGCCAGCUACUGCUCAGUCAGGUGGAGGCUAGCCAGCCGGUGCUCCAGCCAGAUUCUAUGCCCUUCCAGCCAGGCUAGAUGCAUUGGCCUCAGAUGCCAUCAUCACAGGUAUUAUUUCCAUCAAUGGUAGGGAUGUUUCGGUAUUAUUUGAUUCAGGGUCUACUUAUUCAUAUGUAUCAUCUCUGUUUGCUCGUUUCCUGGUUAUUUCUCCUAAGCCUUUGGGCACUCCUGUUCAUGUGUCCACUCCUGUGGGGGAUUUUGUGGUUGUGGAUCGGAUCUACCGAUCCUGUGUGGUCGCCUUCUGUGGUUUCGAGACUAGAGUAGAUCUUCAAUUACUUGAUAUGAUCGAUUUUGAGGUCAUCCUGGGCAUAGAUUGGUUAUCUCCAUAUCACGCCGUCCUGGAUUGCCAUGCCAAGACUGUUUCACUAGUUAUGCUAGGGUUGCCGAGGUUAGAGUGGAAGGGUUCCAUAGUUGAUACACCUAGUCGGGUUAUUUCUUUCCUAAAGGCUCGGCAUAUGGUCAAGAAGGGGUGUUUGGCUUAUUUAGCUUAUGUUCGAGACACCACAACAACAGAGUCUCCAACGAUUGAUUCGGUACCAGUAGUCCGAGAGUUUGCCGAUAUUUUUCCUUUUGACCUUCCUGGCAUGCCUCCGGAUCGUGAUAUUGAUUUCUGUAUUGAUUUGGCUCUAGACACUAAGCCUAUAUCUAUCUCACUAUACUGUAUGGCUCCUAAAGAAUUAAAGGAGUUGAAGGAGAAGCUUGAGGGGUUGUUGGUGAAGGGGUUUGUUAGGCCCAGCGUAUCGCCUUGGGGUGCACCAGUGCUAUUUGUGAAGAAGAAGGAUGGGACUAUACGAAUGUGCAUUGAUUACCGCCAGUUGAACAAAGUUACCAUCAAGAACAAGUAUCCAUUGCCUCGUAUCGAUGAUUUGUUUGACCAGUUGCAGGGUGCUAGGGUGUUCUCUAAGAUCGACUUAAGGUCAGGGUAUCAUCAGCUGAAGAUUCGGGACUUAGAUGUUCCGAAGACUGCAGUCCGGACUAGAUAUGGCCAUUAUGAGUUUCUGGUAAUGUCCUUUGUCUUGACUAAUGCCCCAGCAACAUUUAUGGAUUUGAUGAACAGGGUAUUCAGGCCUUAUAUUGAUUCAUUUGUCGUCGUCUUCAUUGACGACAUCUUGAUAUACACCCGUAGCAUGGGGGAGCACGAGCAACAUUUAAGGGUAGUGCUUCAGACCUUGCGAGAGCAGAAGCUAUAUGCUAAGUUCUCCAAGUGCGAGUUCUGGCUAGAGUCAGUGGCAUUCUUGGGGCAUAUUGUGUCUGGAGAGGGUAUUAAGGUGGAUCCCAAGAAGAUUGAAGGAGUUCAGAGUUGGCCACGUCCUACCUUAGUGACCGAGAUUAGGAGUUUCCUGGGGUUAUUAGGUUACUACCGGCGAUUCGUGCAGGGCUUUUCAUCUAUUGCAACACCUUUGACUAGAUUGACCCUGAAGAGUGCUCCAUUCCGUUGGUCUGAUGAUUGCGAGGAGAGCUUCCAGAAGCUCAAGAUAGCUUUUACUACAGCAUCAAUGCUUGUAUUUCGUUCAGGCUCAGGGAUGUACACGGUAUAUUGCAACUCUUCAAGCGUUGGCUUGGGAUGUGUGUUGAUGCAGGAGGGGCGAGUUAUUGCAUAUGCGUCGUGUCAGCUGAAGGUUCAUGAGAAGAAUUAUCUUGUGCACGAUCUAGAGUUGGCCGCGAUUGUUCAUGCUCUUAAGAUAUGGAGGCAUUAUCUAUAUGGGGCAUCAUGUGAGGUUUAUACUGAUCAUCGCAGUUUACAACAUUUAUUCAAGCAGAGGGAUCUUAAUUUGAGGCAGCGCAUGCGGCUUGAGUUACUGAAGGAUUAUGACAUCACCAUUCUUUAUCAUCCGGGCAAGGCGAAUGUAGUCAAGAAUGCCUUAAGCAAAAAGGCGAAAAGUAUGGGUAGCAUGGAAUUCAUUCCAGCAGCGGAGAGGCCACUAGCUUUGGACAUUCAGUCCUUGGCUAACAGACUUUUGAGGUUUGACAUUUCGGAGCCCAGCCAAGUUCUGGUAUGCGUGGUUGCUCAGUCCUCACUAUUGGGGCAGAUCAAGGUACGCUAGUUUGAUGAUUCUCAUUUGGCAGUCCUCAGAGAGACAGUACUUCAGGGAGGUGCCAAGGAGGUUUCUAUUGGCGAGGUUGGUGCUUUGCGUCUUUAGGGCCGUCUAUGUGUUCCUAAUGUUGAUGGUCUGAGGGAUAAGAUUCUAGAGGAGGCCCACAGUUCAUGGUAUUAUAUUCAUUCGGGUGCCACGAAGAUGUAUCGUGACUUGAGGCAACAUGAUUGGUGGCGGAGAAUGAAGAAGGAUAUAGUGGAGUACGUGGCUAGAUGUUUGAAUUGCCAGUAGGUCAAGUAUGAACAUCAAAGGCCGGGUGGCCUACUUCAGCAGAUGCCUAUUCUAGAGUGGAAGUGGGAGCGCAUCAUUAUGGAUUUCGUAGUUGGGUUGCUGCGGACUUUGCAGAAGUUUGAUUCAGUAUGGAUCAUUGUGGAUAGGUUGACCAAGUCGACUCACUUCAUUCCAGUAGCGACUACUUAUACAGCGGAGAGGUAUGCUCAGAUUUAUAUUCGGGAGAUCGUCCGGUUGCACGGUGUGCCUGUUUCCAUCAUAUCAGAUAGAGGCCCUCAGCUCACUUCCCAUUUCUGGAGAGCCGUUCAGAGUGAGUUGGGGACCCGUGUAGAGCUUAGCACAACAUUCCAUCCUCAUCCUCAGACCGAUGGGCAGUCAGAGUGGACAGUUCAGAUUUUAGAGGAUAUGCUUAGAGCAUGUGUGAACGACUUUGGAGGGCAGUGGGAUCAGUUCUUGCCUUUAGCGGAGUUUGAAGAAGAGUUACGUGGAUCAAAAGGCCGUGAUGUAACAUUUAUGGUUGGCAAGAAGGUUCUCUUGAAAUUCUCGCCAAUGAAGGGUAUUAUGAGGUUCGGGAAGAAGGGCAAGUUGAGCCCAAGAUUUAUUGGUCCCUUUGAGGUGUUGAGGCGAGUUGGGGAGGUUGCCUAUGAGCUUGUUUUACCCCCCAGCUUAUCGGGAGAUCAUCUAGUUUUUCAUGUAUCGAUGCUUCGAAAGUAUCAUGCUGACCUAUCCUAUGUGUUGGACUUCAGUUCUAUCUAGCUGGAUGAGAGUUUGGGUUACGAGGAGGAGCCAGUUGUCAUUAUUGAUAGACAGGAUCGCCAGUUGAGGUCCAAGAGGAUUUCUGAGGUGAGGGUCCAAUGGAGGGGCCAACCAGUUGGGGAGGCGACCUAGGAGUCUGAGGAGGACAUGCGAAGCAGAUAUCCCCAUUUAUUCAGUAGUUCAGGGACUUUUCUAUGUCCGUUCGAGGACGAACGUUUGUUUAAGAGGUGGAGAAUGUAACGACCCGACUGGUCAUUUUGCCUCUUUGGACCCUGUUCCCUCUUAAAAAACUUCCCGUGCUUGCUUUAGCUAAUUUGCAACUUGCGGGGACGAUUGGUUCGGGAAUUUGGAAGAGUUUUGGGUGAAAUAUGUCCAUUUGAUUCUUUAGGAUUCUCUUAAAAGACAAAGUUUGACUUUGGUCAAUAUUUCGAGCAAAUGGACUCGGAUCCGUGAUUUGAUAGUCCCGAAGGGUCCGUGGGAAAAUAUGGGACCUGGGCGUAUGUCCGGAAUCGAAUUCCGAGGUCCCUAGCCCGAGUAAUGAAUUUUUAUUAAAAAUUGUUAAUUUGAAGUUUUAAGGAUUUAAAGAAACUAUAUAAUCAUUGAUUUCCUAAGUAUCGGGCUCGUAUUUUGGUUCUGAAGCCUGGUACAAGUCUGAAAUAUCAUUUAAGACUUGCUUGUAAAAUUUGGUGUCAAUCCGAGUAGUUUUAGGACGUUUUGGCCCGUUGGGGGAAAAAUUACGAACAUGAAGUUCAUAAGUUGAUUCAUUUGGUUUUAGGGGAUGAUUUCUAGAUUUAGCGUUGUUUCGGGUGUUCUAAAGGUUCGAGUAGGUCCGUCUCCUGAUUUCAGACUUGUUGGUAUGUUCGGACGGGGCCUAGGAGUCCCGAGCAUCAAUCGGACGAGGCUCGAGUGAAGUGGAAAUUUUGGGAAAGGGCUGAAGGAUUGCUACUUCUGUCAUAACCGCAUCUGCGGUUCUUGGACCGCAGAUGUGGUCCUUCCAUCGUAGAAGCAGCCUAGGUGACAAGGCCAGGAAAUCGUAGAUGCGGCUUCCAAGCCGCAGAAGCGGCUCCGCAUAUGCGGCCCUAAGACUGCAGAUGCAGUCCCAGCUCUUCCUCCCCUUUUCAUAGAUGCGGUCUAAUUCUCGCAGAUGCGGAAAUCACUGAACCGGUGAGGUUCAUUAAAGACGGGUUCUAAGUCAUUUUAUGACAUUUUCACUCCUCAUUUGGGCGAUUUGGGAGCUUUUGAGAGAAGGUCUUCACUUAGGAUUGUGAGGUAAGUUUAUUCCACCCAUCCUUAGUUUAGUACUUGUAUAUUAGGUAGGUUAAACACUAGAAAUUAGGUAAAAUCAAGGGGUUAGAGCAAGACCUAGGGUUUUACUAAAAUUUAGAUUUAACCACGAAGUUUGUUAUGAAAUGAAUUAGAAAUCAUAUAUUAUUGAUCCUUAGGUUGUAGAGAACAACUUCUUUCGAAAAAUCUCGGAAUCCGAGCACGUGGCCCCGUGGUCGGAAUUUAGGAAACUUGUGAAAAAGGUUGGGAAAUUGCUUAAAUAGCUAGAAUUCGAUCUUGUAAGUCUAUAUUGACUAGUUCUUACUUCAUUUAACUAGUUUGGUAUUGUUCGGCUCCGAAUUGAGGGCUUGAACUUGUUCUUGAUAUUUGGAAGUGUGCUUUGGAGCAAGGUGAGUCUCCUUUCUAACCUUGUAAGAGGGAAUUGUCCCCAUAGGUAUAAUAAUUGAGAAAUUGCUGCUAAAUGCGGGGGCUACGUACGCACUAGGUGACGAGAGUCCAUGCGUAGCUACUAUGAUGUUAAUUGCUUGGGUAGUCUAGGACCCACAUCAUGCCUAAAUUGUGACUAUCUCCAUAUUAACUUGCUAAUGGAUCGUUUAUGAUUUAGAGACUUGGAAAGAAAUAAAGGUGAACAUGUGAACUUGUUGAAUCCUUGUACGAAUUUAUGUGUAUAUAAAUGUGUCUUCGUGUAUAUUCUUGAUGUUUCUUGAUAUUUAUGGAUCGGGCCGAUCGCCUCGGUGUAAAUAGACGCAUCAAUGAUUUACACCGUUUGACCCUCGGCAGUGCACAGUUUAUUUUCUGUUGGAGCGGGCCGUCGACCUCGGCAUAAUGUGCGCAUGAUAUCUAUGCGGAAUCUUACACAUGACUUGUUUGCUAAGUAUUUUGAAAUGUAAAUGUCUAACUGAAAUAUGGUCAAGAACAUGAUUAUUGCUUUUUAUUAUAAACUGUUGAUUAUUGGUGAUCCCCAUGCCUAGUAUCAUAUUAUUUUGACCCUAGUAAGUAUCAAGUCGACAUCUCGUCUCUACUUCUUCGAGAUUAGACGGGAUACUUACUGGGUACAUAUUAUUUAUGUACUCAUACUACACUUCUGUACUUAAUUGUACAGGAUCUAAGGUAGGUACAUCUAGCUACCAGUCUGGUGUGUGCCCCUGAUUUAUAGGUCGAGACUUCCAC
RNAcentral lists this long non-coding RNA (5639 nucleotides) under Nicotiana tabacum (common tobacco). Its description in RNAcentral is "long non-coding RNA (NTAB_LNC005897)". The record is from RNAcentral. Lineage: Eukaryota; Viridiplantae; Streptophyta; Magnoliopsida; Solanales; Solanaceae.